CGCAAAGGUACACUUAUCGCGAAUGGAAAUCGCGUUUAAAGGGUAAUACUAUAUGUGUGCUUGAUUGUGAGACGAACAAGUCGACCAAGUAAGAAAUUAGGCUAUAGU
Molecule: ribosomal RNA, 108 nt
Filed under: Chlorocebus sabaeus (green monkey)
Lineage: Eukaryota; Metazoa; Chordata; Mammalia; Primates; Cercopithecidae
Description: rRNA (ENSCSAG00000027112.1)
Rfam family: Bacterial large subunit ribosomal RNA
Source: RNAcentral